UGUAUAAGAGACAGCCUGUGAGCGUUGAAAAGCUUUAGGAUGAGAUGUGGGUAGAGGUGAAAUUCCAAUCGAACGCGGAGAUAGCUGGUUCUCCCCGAAAUAGCUUUAGGGCUAGCCUCAAGUAGUAAGUAUAGGCGGUAGAGCACUGAUCGGGCUAGGGGCCAUAAAGGUUACCGAACCCUGUCAAACUCCGAAUGGUUAUACUGUAGAGCUUGGGAGUCAGACUACGAGUGAUAAGAUCCGUGGUCAAAAGGGAAACAGCCCAGACCACCAGCUAAGGUCCCCAAUGUCGUACUAAGUGGAAAAGGAUGUGGGGUCUCUAAAACAACCAGGAUGUUGGCUUAGAAGCAGCCACCAUUUAAAGAGUGCGUAAUAGCUCACUGGUCGAGAGACCCUGCGCCGAAGAUUACCGGGGCUAAAGUACGAAACCGAAGCUGUGGCUACGACGUAAGUCGUGGGGUAGGGGAGCGUUCUGUGAGGGCUGAAGUCGUUCUGUAAGGAACGGUGGACUUCACAGAAGUGAGAAUGUUGGUAUGAGUAGCGAAAAGAAUGGUGAGAAUCCAUUCCACCGAAAGCAUAAGGAUUCCUGGGCAACGAUCGUCGUCCCAGGGUAAGUCGGGACCUAAUCCGAGGCAUGGAGCGUAGGAGAUGGACAACUGGCAGAUAUUCCAGUACCGGUAAUGAUUGUUUGAGCGAUGGAGUGACACAGGAGGGCAGGCAGGCAGGAGAUUGGUUGUUCCUGUACAAGCGUGUAGGAUGGGACGUAGGCAAAUCCGCGUCCUCUGAGUCUGAGGCGUGAUGUGGAGGUUCCGGAAACGGAACUGAAGCUGCUGACCCCACACUGUCGAGAAAAGCUUCUAGUUAGAGAAUUACCGCCCGUACCGUAAACCGACACAGGUAUGCGAGGAGAGAAUCCUAAGGUGCGCGGGAGAACCCUCGUUAAGGAACUCGGCAAAAUGUACCCGUAACUUCGGGAUAAGGGUAGCCGCUGUUGUGAAGUCUGCACAGACGGAGCAUGAGGCGGUCGCAGAGAAGAGGCCCAAGCGACUGUUUACCACAAACACAGGUGCCUGCUAAAGAGAAAUCUGACGUAUAGGUGCUGACACCUGCCCAGUGCCGGAAGGUUAAGGAAGGAUGUCCGGAGCAAUCCAAAGCAUUCGACCGAAGCCCCGGUGAACGGCGGCCGUAACUAUAACGGUCCUAAGGUAGCGAAAUUCCUUGUCGGGUAAG
RNAcentral lists this ribosomal RNA (1230 nucleotides) under human gut metagenome. Its description in RNAcentral is "bacterial LSU rRNA". It matches the Rfam family "Bacterial large subunit ribosomal RNA", at positions 765 to 1980 of the family's 2925-position model. The record is from RNAcentral.